Molecule: ribosomal RNA, 159 nt
Filed under: Triticum aestivum (bread wheat)
Lineage: Eukaryota; Viridiplantae; Streptophyta; Magnoliopsida; Poales; Poaceae
Description: partial small subunit ribosomal RNA
Source: RNAcentral
AGAGCUGUCAUCUUGCGAAAAAACGUUAAGCAAUAAGUAGGGCCGUGUAUAGUAAGUGAUCCGAACCUGCCCGGAGCGCCCCCCUUAGAGGCAAGUGAAGUUGGUGAGCCGUAUGAUGGGCAACUAUCUCCUGCGGUUCGGAGAGGACUCAGCUGUUAG